GAUUUACANUUGAGUGAGUGGCGAACUGGUGAGUAACACGUGGGAAACCUGCCCAGAAGCGGGGGAUAACACCUGGAAACAGAUGCUAAUACCGCAUAACAACUUGGACCGCAUGGUCCGAGCUUGAAAGAUGGCUUCNGCUAUCACUUUUGGAUGGUCCCGCGGNGUAUUAGCUAGAUGGUGGGGUAACGGCUCACCAUGGCAAUGAUACGUAGCCGACCUGAGAGGGUAAUCGGCCACAUUGGGACUGAGACACGGCCCAAACUCCUACGGGAGGCAGCAGUAGGGAAUCUUCCACAAUGGACGAAAGUCUGAUGGAGCAACGCCGCGUGAGUGAAGAAGGGUUUCGGCUCGUAAAACUCUGUUGUUAAAGAAGAACAUAUCUGAGAGUAACUGUUCAGGUAUUGACGGUAUUUAACCAGAAAGCCACGGCUAACUACGUGCCAGCAGCCGCGGUAAUACGUAGGUGGCAAGCGUUGUCCGGAUUUAUUGGGCGUAAAGCGAGCGCAGGCGGUUUUUUAAGUCUGAUGUGAAAGCCUUCGGCUCAACCGAAGAAGUGCAUCGGAAACUGGGAAACUUGAGUGCAGAAGAGGACAGUGGAACUCCAUGUGUAGCGGUGAAAUGCGUAGAUAUAUGGAAGAACACCAGUGGCGAAGGCGGCUGUCUGGUCUGUAACUGACGCUGAGGCUCGAAAGUAUGGGUAGCAAACAGGAUUAGAUACCCUGGUAGUCCAUACCGUAAACGAUGAAUGCUAAGUGUUGGAGGGUUUCCGCCCUUCAGUGCUGCAGCUAACGCAUUAAGCAUUCCGCCUGGGGAGUACGGCCGCAAGGCUGAAACUCAAAGGAAUUGACGGGGGCCCGCACAAGCGGUGGAGCAUGUGGUUUAAUUCGAAGCUACGCGAAGAACCUUACCAGGUCUUGACAUACUAUGCAAAUCUAAGAGAUUAGACGUUCCCUUCGGGGACAUGGAUACAGGUGGUGCAUGGUUGUCGUCAGCUCGUGUCGUGAGAUGUUGGGUUAAGUCCCGCAACGAGCGCAACCCUUAUUAUCAGUUGCCAGCAUUAAGUUGGGCACUCUGGUGAGACUGCCGGUGACAAACCGGAGGAAGGUGGGGAUGACGUCAAAUCAUCAUGCCCCUUAUGACCUGGGCUACACACGUGCUACAAUGGAUGGUACAACGAGUUGCGAACUCGCGAGAGUAAGCUAAUCUCUUAAAGCCAUUCUCAGUUCGGAUUGUAGGCUGCAACUCGCCUACAUGAAGUCGGAAUCGCUANUAAUCGCGGAUCAGCAUGCCGCGGUGAAUACGUUCCCGGGCCUUGUACACACCGCCCGUCACACCAUGAGAGUUU
Molecule: ribosomal RNA, 1348 nt
Filed under: Lactiplantibacillus plantarum
Lineage: Bacteria; Bacillati; Bacillota; Bacilli; Lactobacillales; Lactobacillaceae
Description: bacterial SSU rRNA
Rfam family: Bacterial small subunit ribosomal RNA
Source: RNAcentral